This 606-nucleotide ribosomal RNA is filed under the name Staphylococcus aureus. Its description in RNAcentral is "partial 23S ribosomal RNA". It matches the Rfam family "Bacterial large subunit ribosomal RNA", at positions 437 to 1045 of the family's 2925-position model. The record is from RNAcentral. Lineage: Bacteria; Bacillati; Bacillota; Bacilli; Caryophanales; Staphylococcaceae.
UCGGAAUCUGGGAGGACCAUCUCCUAAGGCUAAAUACUCUCUAGUGACCGAUAGUGAACCAGUACCGUGAGGGAAAGGUGAAAAGCACCCCGGAAGGGGAGUGAAAUAGAACCUGAAACCGUGUGCUUACAAGUAGUCAGAGCCCGUUAAUGGGUGAUGGCGUGCCUUUUGUAGAAUGAACCGGCGAGUUACGAUUUGAUGCAAGGUUAAGCAGUAAAUGUGGAGCCGUAGCGAAAGCGAGUCUGAAUAGGGCGUUUAGUAUUUGGUCGUAGACCCGAAACCAGGUGAUCUACCCUUGGUCAGGUUGAAGUUCAGGUAACACUGAAUGGAGGACCGAACCGACUUACGUUGAAAAGUGAGCGGAUGAACUGAGGGUAGCGGAGAAAUUCCAAUCGAACCUGGAGAUAGCUGGUUCUCUCCGAAAUAGCUUUAGGGCUAGCCUCAAGUGAUGAUUAUUGGAGGUAGAGCACUGUUUGGACGAGGGGCCCCUCUCGGGUUACCGAAUUCAGACAAACUCCGAAUGCCAAUUAAUUUAACUUGGGAGUCAGAACAUGGGUGAUAAGGUCCGUGUUCGAAAGGGAAACAGCCCAGACCACCAGCUAAGGU